This 474-nucleotide ribosomal RNA is filed under the name uncultured bacterium. Its description in RNAcentral is "partial 16S ribosomal RNA". It matches the Rfam family "Bacterial small subunit ribosomal RNA", at positions 28 to 507 of the family's 1533-position model. The record is from RNAcentral.
GAUGAACGCUAGCGGCAGGCCUAACACAUGCAAGUCGAGGGAGGAGCCUUCGGGCUUCGACCGGCGUACGGGUGCGUAACGCGUAUACAAUCUGCCUUUCACAUAGGGAUAGCCCGAAGAAAUUUGGAUUAAUACCUAAUGGUAUAUAGAUGUGGCAUCACCUUUAUAUUAGAGCUGAGGCGGUGAAAGAUGAGUAUGCGUUCUAUUAGCUAGUUGGAGAGGUAACGGCUCCCCAAGGCGACGAUAGAUAGGGGUUCUGAGAGGGAUAUCCCCCACACUGGUACUGAGAUACGGACCAGACUCCUACGGGAGGCAGCAGUGAGGAAUAUUGGACAAUGGUCGGAAGACUGAUCCAGCCAUGCCGCGUGCAGGAAGACGGCCUUAUGGGUUGUAAACUGCUUUUGCAGGGGAAGAAUAAGGACUACGCGUAGUUUGAUGACGGUACUCUGCGAAUAAGCAUCGGCUAACUCCGUG